UACGGAGGGUGCGAGCGUUGUCCGGAAUCACUGGGCGUAAAGGGCGCGUAGGCGGGCUGCCGCGUCCGGGGUGAAAUCCUCCGGCUCAACCGGGGAAGGGCCUCGGAUACGGGCGGCCUGGAGUGGGGUAGGGGCGUGCGGAACUGUGGGUGGAGCGGUGAAAUGCGUUGAGAUCCACAGGAACUCCGGUGGCGAAGGCGGCACGCUGGACCCUUUCUGACGCUGAGGCGCGAAAGCCAGGGGAGCGAACGGG
Molecule: ribosomal RNA, 253 nt
Filed under: uncultured bacterium
Lineage: Bacteria
Description: partial 16S ribosomal RNA
Rfam family: Bacterial small subunit ribosomal RNA
Source: RNAcentral